UUUUGUUUAUGUAUGCCAUUUAACGGCAAGGUUUUAUAUGUGUAAUGUAAACAACGUCUGUAGUGCCACGUAAAUCCUCCUCAAUACAUAGAGUUAAGUUUUAUUAACUCCCACAACGAGUACUAUAUGCGUUUAUCAAUCAAACUUGCUUAAUGCACGCAGAUAAGAUGCGACGUGUGAGAACUAGAUCCAAGCUCCAUGUCAGUAUCAAGCAGCUUUCUGUGAUAAUUCGGCAAGAGGAAAUAUCACUGGUUUCGAAGGGAAGACCCGUACCCGGAGGGGACGAGAGACGGGAAGAAUGAAGAAGAUAGAGCAUUAUUUUAGCAAGAGAGAAAGAAAUAGGAGUUGACGAAAGCGCGUAGGGUAAAGUUUGAGAGACUGGGAGGCAGAAAGCUGGAUUUGCGCCAUCUGUACUUUCUCCUGCGUGACGUGAUUGCAUUGCACUUGACGUCCCUGUGCAGGCGAACAAGUCCCCUUGCAAGCACACAGCACCACACUAAGGCAAUAGACCAUGCACAGUCAACAGGGGAGGUCUGGGAAGCAGAAAGGUGGGCUCUUUGGCAACAUUUGGGAAGCCACUGCACACCGACUUCAUGCUCUCGAGAAUGGUGCCCUCUCUAACUAAAAAUGGAAUGAGUUUUGAGGUUUUUUUUUUUUUUUUCGUUCAAAACACUGAAAUCAAUAAAGUUAAAAUCA
This 696-nucleotide long non-coding RNA is filed under the name Penaeus monodon (black tiger shrimp). RNAcentral's name for it is "uncharacterized LOC119598530". Lineage: Eukaryota; Metazoa; Arthropoda; Malacostraca; Decapoda; Penaeidae. The record is from RNAcentral.